Molecule: ribosomal RNA, 512 nt
Filed under: Streptococcus sp. oral clone BP2-80
Lineage: Bacteria; Bacillati; Bacillota; Bacilli; Lactobacillales; Streptococcaceae
Description: bacterial SSU rRNA
Rfam family: Bacterial small subunit ribosomal RNA
Source: RNAcentral
AGAGUUUGAUCCUGGCUCAGGACGAACGCUGGCGGCGUGCCUAAUACAUGCAAGUAGAACGCUGAAGGAGGAGCUUGCUCUUCUGGAUGAGUUGCGAACGGGUGAGUAACGCGUAGGUAACCUGCCUGGUAGCGGGGGAUAACUAUUGGAAACGAUAGCUAAUACCGCAUAACAGUAGAUGUUGCAUGACAUUUGCUUGAAAGGUGCAAUUGCAUCACUACCAGAUGGACCUGCGUUGUAUUAGCUAGUUGGUGAGGUAACGGCUCACCAAGGCGACGAUACAUAGCCGACCUGAGAGGGUGAUCGGCCACACUGGGACUGAGACACGGCCCAGACUCCUACGGGAGGCAGCAGUAGGGAAUCUUCGGCAAUGGACGGAAGUCUGACCGAGCAACGCCGCGUGAGUGAAGAAGGUUUUCGGAUCGUAAAGCUCUGUUGUAAGAGAAGAACGAGUGUGAGAGUGGAAAGUUCACACUGUGACGGUAUCUUACCAGAAAGGACGGCUACUACGU